CCCUGCCAUUUGUACACACCGCCCGUCGCUACUACCGAUUGAGUGUUUUAGUGAGGUCCUCGGAUUGCUGGCCUGGCUGCCUUCACGGGUAGCCUAGCCGGCGAGAAGACGACCAAACUGAUGCACUUAGAGGAAGUAAAAGUCGUAACA
Molecule: ribosomal RNA, 150 nt
Filed under: uncultured eukaryote
Lineage: Eukaryota
Description: partial small subunit ribosomal RNA
Rfam family: Eukaryotic small subunit ribosomal RNA
Source: RNAcentral